RNAcentral lists this unclassified non-coding RNA (598 nucleotides) under Koeleria macrantha. RNAcentral describes it as "sequence contains ITS1, 5.8S rRNA gene, ITS2". The stretch from base 216 to 371 matches the Rfam family "5.8S ribosomal RNA". The record is from RNAcentral. Lineage: Eukaryota; Viridiplantae; Streptophyta; Magnoliopsida; Poales; Poaceae.
UCGUGACCCUGACCAAAACAGACCGCGCACGCGUCAUCCAGCCCGCCGAGCGGUCCGCCGCUCGGCCAAGUCCUCGACAACCUCCUCUCCUCGGAGCGGGGGCUCGGGGUAAAAGAACCCACGGCGCCGAAGGCGUCAAGGAACACUGUGCCUAGCCCGGGGACGCGGCUGGCUUGCUGGCCGCACCCCGUGCUGCAAUGCUAUUUAAUCCACACGACUCUCGGCAACGGAUAUCUCGGCUCUCGCAUCGAUGAAGAACGUAGCGAAAUGCGAUACCUGGUGUGAAUUGCAGAAUCCCGCGAACCAUCGAGUCUUUGAACGCAAGUUGCGCCCGAGGCCAUCCGGCUGAGGGCACGCCUGCCUGGGCGUCACGCCAAACACGCUCCCACCCCCCCUCAUCGGGGGAGCGGGAUGCGGCAUGUGGCCUCCCGUCUCGCAAGGGGCGGUGGGCCGAAGAUAUGGCUGCCGGCGUAUCGUGCCGGACACAGCGCUAGGUGGGCGUUCUCGCUAAGCUUAUCGCAGUGUAUCCGGUGCGUAGCCGACACGAUGGCCUCUAAAGACCCUUUGAACGGUGCGCAUGACGCUCCGACCGCGACCC